Molecule: ribosomal RNA, 1141 nt
Filed under: Candidatus Synechococcus spongiarum
Lineage: Bacteria; Bacillati; Cyanobacteriota; Cyanophyceae; Synechococcales; Synechococcaceae
Description: bacterial SSU rRNA
Rfam family: Bacterial small subunit ribosomal RNA
Source: RNAcentral
CGAAAGCCUGACGGAGCAACGCCGCGUGAGGGAUGGAGGCCUUUGGGCUGUAAACCUCUUUUCUCAAGGAAGAAGAUCUGACGGUACUUGAGGAAUAAGCCACGGCUAAUUCCGUGCCAGCAGCCGCGGUAAUACGGGAGUGGCAAGCGUUAUCCGGAAUUAUUGGGCGUAAAGCGUCCGCAGGCGGCCGUUUAAGUCUGUUGUUAAAUCGUGGAGCUCAACUCCAUCACGGCAAUGGAAACUGUUCGGCUUGAGUAUGGUAGGGGCAGAGGGAAUUUCCGGUGUAGCGGUGAAAUGCGUAGAUAUCGGGAAGAACACCAGUGGCGAAAGCGCUCUGCUGGGCCAUUACUGACGCUCAUGGACGAAAGCCAGGGGAGCGAAAGGGAUUAGAUACCCCUGUAGUCCUGGCCGUAAACGAUGAACACUAGAUGUUGGGGGAAUCGACCCCCUCGGUGUCGUAGCUAACGCGUUAAGUGUUCCGCCUGGGGAGUACGCACGCAAGUGUGAAACUCAAAGGAAUUGACGGGGGCCCGCACAAGCGGUGGAGUAUGUGGUUUAAUUCGAUGCAACGCGAAGAACCUUACCAAGGCUUGACAUCCUGCGAAUCUCUAAGAAAUUAGAGAGUGCCUUCGGGAACGCAGUGACAGGUGGUGCAUGGCUGUCGUCAGCUCGUGUCGUGAGAUGUUGGGUUAAGUCCCGCAACGAGCGCAACCCACGUUUUUAGUUGCCAGCAUUCAGUUGGGCACUCUAGAAAGACUGCCGGUGACAAACCGGAGGAAGGUGUGGACGACGUCAAGUCAUCAUGCUCCUUACGCCUUGGGCUACACACGUACUACAAUGCUGCGGACAAAGAGUAGCGAUCUUGCGAAAGUUAGCUAAUCUCAUAAACCGUGGCUCAGUUCAGAUCGUAGGCUGCAACUCGCCUACGUGAAGGAGGAAUCGCUAGUAAUCGCAGGUCAGCAUACUGCGGUGAAUACGUUCCCGGGCCUUGUACACACCGCCCGUCACACCAUGGAAGUUGGCCAUGCCCGAAGUCGUUACUCUAACCUUUUGGAAGAGGGCGCCGAAGGCAGGGCUAAUGACUGGGGUGAAGUCGUAACAAGGUAGCCGUAGCGGAAGCUGCGGCUGGAUCACCUCCUAA